AUUGAACGCUGGCGGCAUGCUUUACACAUGCAAGUCGAACGGCAGCGCGGGCUUCGGCCUGGCGGCGAGUGGCGAACGGGUGAGUAAUGCAUCGGAACGUGCCCAGUAGUGGGGGAUAGCCCGGCGAAAGCCGGAUUAAUACCGCAUACGACCUGAGGGUGAAAGCGGGGGACCGAAAGGCCUCGCGCUAUUGGAGCGGCCGAUGUCGGAUUAGCGAGUUGGUGGGGUAAAGGCUUACCAAGGCGACGAUCCGUAGCUGGUCGGAGAGGACGACCAGCCACACUGGGACUGAGACACGGCCCAGAGUCCGACGGGAGGCAGCAGUGGGGAAUUUUGGACAAUGGGGGCAACCCUGAUCCAGCCAUGCCGCGUGCGGGAAGAAGGCCUUCGGGUUGGAAACCGCUUUUGUUCGGGAAGAAAUCCUCUGGGCUAAUACCCCGGGGGGAUGACGAUACCGGAAGAAUAAGCACCGGCUAACUACGUG
Molecule: ribosomal RNA, 484 nt
Filed under: uncultured bacterium
Lineage: Bacteria
Description: partial 16S ribosomal RNA
Rfam family: Bacterial small subunit ribosomal RNA
Source: RNAcentral